AUUGAACGCUGGCGGCAUGCCUUACACAUGCAAGUCGAACGGCAGCGCGGGAGCAAUCCUGGUGGCGAGUGGCGAACGGGUGAGUAAAGUAUCGGAACGUGCCCAGUCGUGGGGGAUAACGUAGCGAAAGUUACGCUAAUACCGCAUACGAUCUAUGGAUGAAAGCGGGGGAUCGCAAGACCUCGCGCGAUUGGAGCGGCCGAUAGCAGAUUAGGUAGUUGGUGGGGUAAAGGCUCACCAAGCCGACGAUCUGUAGCUGGUCUGAGAGGACGACCAGCCAAACGGGGACUGAGAAACGGCCCAGACUCCUACGGGAGGAAGCAGUGGGGAAUUUUGGACAAUGGGCGAAAGCCUGAUCCAGCCAUGCCGCGUGCAGGAUGAAGGCCUUCGGGUUGUAAACUGCUUUUGUACGGAACGAAAAGGUUUGGGCUAAUAAGCUGAGCUCAUGACGGUACCGUAAGGAUAAGCACCGGCUAACUACGUGCCAGCCGCCGCCGUAA
This 500-nucleotide ribosomal RNA is filed under the name uncultured bacterium. Its description in RNAcentral is "partial 16S ribosomal RNA". It matches the Rfam family "Bacterial small subunit ribosomal RNA", at positions 29 to 523 of the family's 1533-position model. The record is from RNAcentral.